RNAcentral lists this ribosomal RNA (763 nucleotides) under uncultured soil bacterium. RNAcentral's name for it is "bacterial SSU rRNA". It matches the Rfam family "Bacterial small subunit ribosomal RNA", at positions 31 to 769 of the family's 1533-position model. The record is from RNAcentral.
GAACGCUGGCGGCGUACCUAACACAUGCAAGUCGAACGGGGAUCACGGGGUUAGCAAUAACUUCGUGGUUCUAGUGGCGCACGGGUGAGUAACACGUGGGUAACCUGCCCUUGAGACUGGGAUACCCCCUCGAAAGGGGGGCUAAUACCGGAUACGUUCCUCGGAUCGAAAGGUUUGAGGAGGAAAGGUGGCGAAAGCUGCCGCUCUUGGAGGGGCUCGCGGCCUAUCAGCUAGUUGGCGGGGUAACGGCCCACCAAGGCUAUGACGGGUAGCUGGUCUGAGAGGACGACCAGCCACACGGGGACUGAGACACGGCCCCGACUCCUACGGGAGGCAGCAGUGGGGAAUUUUCCGCAAUGGGCGAAAGCCUGACGGAGUGACGCCGCGUGUGGGACGAAGGCCUUCGGGUCGUAAACCACUGUCAGUGGGAAAGAUGGGUGUCGGCGUGAUAACCGCCGGCAUUUGACGGUACCUGCAGAGGAAGCCCCGGCUAACUCUGUGCCAGCAGCCGCGGUAAGACAGAGGGGGCAAGCGUUGCUCGGAAUUACUGGGCGUAAAGGGCGCGUAGGCGGGAUGGCAAGUCGGUCGUGAAAUCCCUCGGCUCAACUGAGGAUCGUCGAUCGAUACUGCCGUUCUUGAGGAUUGCAGAGGAGACUGGAAUUCCUGGUGUAGCAGUGAAAUGCGUAGAUAUCAGGAGGAACACCGAUGGCGAAGGCAGGUCUCUGGGCUGAAACUGACGCUCAUGCACGAAAGCGUGGGGAGC